Molecule: ribosomal RNA, 147 nt
Filed under: uncultured bacterium
Lineage: Bacteria
Description: partial 16S ribosomal RNA
Rfam family: Bacterial small subunit ribosomal RNA
Source: RNAcentral
CGAUGAGCCUGCCGCGUGAGUGAUGAAGGCCUUCGGGUUGUAAAGCUCUUUCACCCGGGAAGAUAAUGACGGUACCAGGAGAAUAAGCGCCGGAUAGCUCCGUGCCAGCAACCGCGGUAAUACUCCGUGCCAGCAGACGCGGUAAUA